Long non-coding RNA from Dromaius novaehollandiae (emu), 5730 nucleotides. RefSeq lists it as uncharacterized. The record is from RefSeq and is a predicted model, not a curated record. The transcript is spliced from 2 exons. Lineage: Eukaryota; Metazoa; Chordata; Aves; Casuariiformes; Dromaiidae.
CUUUUUUCUUUGCUCUUGACACCUUCCACCCUUUUGGAAAAAAAUCCCCAUUUUUUCAAGCCGUUUUGUCACUUGUCAUGAAAUGCUUAGGCUGAAACACAUUGCAUUUCCAUCCAUAGCCAUUAAGUAGUAAUUAUUUGCUUCUGGAUAUGCCUUACAUCUUGGCUUGAAUAGUGUAGAACAGGACUAAUUCCAGUCUCCCUAGGAUAUCGUCUUCUGUAUCACUGAAGAGACCUAUCUUCAUGCCAGCACAACUGAGAUCUGGAAUCUUAUCUUAGCUCUGUUACACAUUGGAAUCCCCACCUAGGAGUUGUGCUUAUGGCAGAGUGUGUUAAUGACGGAGGAGUAGAAUGUAGUAAGCCAAAAUGCUGGCAUAAACAGUGAAUUUUUAAAAAAUAUUUGUGAACAACAAAUUGGGGGUUAUUUUUGUAAAUUGUGUUGUAGACAUUAAUUUUCCCUCUUUUUAGAAUAUUUUGAUUAAAUAGAAGUGCAACACUGGCCUAAGGUAAAUUGCAGUCCUUCUGGUGCAAUUCCAUCUUUUAGUUUUCUUUCUGUUCCUUAGGAACAACUUUUUGAUGUCCCUGAAACACUAAGUGCAUGAUGAUUAAAAUUCCAUCCAUGCAGUGUAGCUCAGAAAGUAAAUACACAUUUCAGGAAUACAAAGUGUCAAACUUUCAAAAGAUUUCAUCUGCUUCCUCAGUCAUCAGUGACCAAAUAAUAACACCUGGAUGGUGGGGGGGGGGGGGAGGGGGGCAGAGAGGAAGGGAAGUCAUUUACUGAGGGAAGGAAAUCUGUUUUGUCUUCAUAAAUAUUAUCAAUAGAAUGACUUAGAGUUAGUAUUUUAGGCCUGGUAUCUUAUGUAAUGGCUCUUAACAGUUUGGGAAGCCUAAAAACACAGCACAGAGAAAUAAUGAGAAAUAGUAGCUGUUGUUUCAAGAAAGCUUUUAACCUGAAAUGGUGGAAGCGUAAUGCUACCCAUUGCUAUGAAUUUGUAUGGCUACACUGUAGUCAGGGAGCUGCUCUUCCAUCACCUUCCUCAUUCCAUAUCUGUGAGCCCAUCCAGUAGGUAAGAAAUCCCUUAGCCUCUCAUCAGAUAUGGUGUCAUUCAAACUGGAGGGAGGGAGGAAGGAGGGGAGAUACCUAAGGAUGCCCAGAUGUGGAGCUACUGAGAGCAUAGCUGGAAAUAAGCUGGGAGGAGGCUACUGAGGCAGCUGAGGGCCUGGAGUGCCACCAAGGAGGAAAUGGAGUUGGGAGACUUCAGGCACCAGGCAGGGUAUGUCCACCUGGUAAGGUGGAUGUUUUCGCAGGUUCACACACUAGUUGGGUUUUGGCAGAGACCUCUGUAGACCUCUGUGGUCCAGACCUCCUGCUCAACCAGGGUCCGAUAGAGCAGGUUGCCCAGGACUUCAAACCUCCAGUUUGCAAGGGUAGAGGGGCAGCUGGGGAAUGGGAUUUGGUUUACAUGAGGGGCAGGACACCUUAAAAAGAUUGAGAAAUGCAGGCCUAAUGAAAAUCUUAUUUUCAAAUAAAUAAGAAGGAAAAAGUAUGUUUUUUAUUAGGUGUGGUUCCAGCCCUUGAUGAUCCCGUAGUACUGCUGUAUGUAUGUGCGUAGGAAUUAUGGAAUGACCAGCAGUAUGUUUUUGAUAAAUUCAGAGUCAUCCUAGUUGCUGAUUCAUCUUUCCACAGUAUUGUUUGCGAUUACUUAAAAUCUUUCUCUUCUCCCUCAUGUUCGAAGACGGUUCUCACUGCCUCAAGUAUGAUCAGAAUCACGUGUGUUAAGACAGUUACCAUGAUAAGAUGUUGCCAACUUGGCUUUCUCUUGCUUGUAACCUCUACAAAAAGAGAUUUCAGGACCUUAGUGGGUGAUUUGAGGCCAGCUACCUUCAGUAGCAUCAAUGAAUCUUCUUGUACUUAGACCAUGUAUAAUCAGAGUUCUUGUGUCUUCUGACUGGCAUUGUGUUUCUACUCUGAAUGGAUUUACUGCCUCACUCUUUUGUCUUUUAUUUGAAGAAAAGUAUUUAAGACAAAAAACCCUUUUAACUACAGCGAGAUUUGUGAGUAGUAUUUGCAUGCCUUCAAAUUGCCAGUUGCCCUCCCAUUCAGAGCUUAUAAACUGAUUUUUCAGUGUCUAUGGUUCUAGUCUCCAGAUAAGUAACCUAGACUUUCAGAUUCUUUUCUCGUAGGAGGCACAAAGCUAUCAAGUUCCUGAUAGAGUAUUAGUACUUCUAGAAACCAUAAAUGCAUUUUUGUGAAAUCUCGAAAGAUAAUUUAUUUCCCUAACAGAUACUACUGGUUUCAAAUUGUAGUGACCCCAGCAUUAUAGCAAUAAGAAUCAAAACUGAAAGUGGUAAUACACAAGUGUUUAAUGCUAUAGAUUUGAUGUCAAGGCUGAGAGAAGUGAAAACAUAAGCAUAUAACACAAAAGCAAAUUGGAUUUCUAAAGGUUGUUAUUAGUCUGUGGUUUUGAUACUACACUGGGAAGGAUAUUUGUUGAAUUGAAUGUGAUUUUGAAGGCAGCUACUUAAACAUGCUAUUUUGGGGAAAUUUUCCAUCACAAAAACAAAAUCAUAAUAUUAGAGGAGUGAAGAUUUCAUUUGCAUUAUUGGGAGUCAUGUGGUUGGAGAUGUCCAGCUUGACUGAAAGAACAUUUCACUCCAGAAGCAAGAAGAUUGUAGAGAGCAGUUGUCAGACUAUUAAUAGUGCCGAAUACUCUUUGUUACUCGGUAUUAGAUUACUACAGUAAGAGUACUUGAAAAUAUAUUUUUAAGAGAAAAGGUAACACUAAAAUAUGUGCUUGCUUCUUUGUCAAGUAUUCUCAUUGUGGAACUAGAAAACUCCUCUUUCUUUUUUAGCUUGUACUCAAAAAUAUGUUUGCGUGUGUUUGCCUUAAUAUGGCAUAAUGUCAUCAGCCAAGCUACUACAUAUACCUCCUGAGGUCUCCUUACCUGCUAAGUGAAACAUGUUGCCCUGAAUCAUCUUCACUGAGUGUUAGCUGAUGUAUUUUAUCUUUCAACUGGGAUGGGAAAUGAUGGGCAAUGCUCAGCAGUUAGCAAAACUCAGGGAACAGGUUGGAACUCUUUAAGCCCAUGAUAUUGUUGAAUCUGUACCCAUAACCUAUCAAAAAGAUUUAAACAGGCAGAAAGUGGAUAACAACUUUUGAUCUGACAGUGAUUUGGGAACCAGGUCUCAGUCCUUUUCCUAUCAAUCACUCAUGUACUCUGUUGACUUGGACCAAUCCACUUUAACAUCUCUGCUUCAUUUUCCAUAUGGAAAAAAUAAGUGAUAGCUACUUACCUGAGAAGUUUGUUGCCAUACCCCAUUAGAAUAAACUUUUUUAAAGCAUUUGAAAGGUGAAAAGCAGUGUUCAAAAAGAACUGGAGCUUUCUGUUGUUCCUCCUUAAUGUGCUGUCAUGCACCUAAUGAGAGAACUUCUGACUCAGCAUAAAUAUGGGCCUUUACUUUUUGAACUUCAGGACUUCUGUACAUGCAUAACCAAUAAUAAUAAUUACACUCCUAAUUGCUUGGAUGUCAGGGGGAGGAGGGAAUGGACUCCAGCCUACAUCAAGAACUGGUAAAACCUAUGUUCUGUUAGUGGAUCCAUGUGUGCAACCAUGCUCGGUUUGGGGUCCUGUUGGUAACGUCCAGAGCAGAAGCUCAGCAAGUAUAAUUGUUUUUGUGAGUAGCUUGAGUUAUGUAUCACUUUGUUCCAUGAGUGUGAAGCUUAAGUGAAUACUGUAUUACCUGUGGCAAUGCAGACAGUCUUUCAUUAAUAAUACAAGGUUUUCCUGGGUUUCCUGGUCCUGAGAAGAGAUGGGGCACUGCAAGUACACAGCCAAAUUGCUGCAGGAAUAAAGAUGAUGUUUUAGGUGUUGCAGAACACUUUCCGAGACUUGCUGUAGCAGGGAGGAUCAAAAGCAGUGGACAAAGGAGAGAAGAACUAGCCAUUGUCAAACCAUCUGAAAAAGUGGGAAUCUGGGGCUGCCCCUUUUGUCCUGUUGCUCUUGUGCAGAGCUGGAUGCCAAGAUGGGCAUGUCAGAGCAAGGGACACUGGGCACAUCACAGCGCCAUUCUGGAAGGAGCUCUGAAAGCACAGGCUAACAAUGAGCUUGUGGAGACAGGGGUCACAGGAUGCAGAUACUGCGGAGAGCUGGUGGCUCCUUGAGGCUCAACUUAUCCCAGCUCAGAUGAGUCCAGAAGUGGUAUCACCUGGGGAGAAAGAAUGGAACUCAGAGGCUUUGGUUGAGGAAUUUGGAGAGGCACCUUCUCCACACCUGUGGACAAUUUUGCAUCAGAAGAAGAAGGAUGACAUGUUCUUCAAACUUUACAAGAGCCCCAAGUCAAGAUUUCUGUGAAACAAUGCGGGGGGGGAGGAGUGCCUGCUUGAAGAAAGACAGAACUGGAGAGAAGCGUAGGAAAGUGAGUGAAGACAUUAAGCAUCUCCAGAGAGGGCAAGUGUGGAUUCCACAAAGCAUUAUGAGACAAAACAUCCGAAGAUGUGUGCUCCAGCAGGUCAACUAUGCAGCCCACUGUCCUCAUGGGGCUUUCCCUGUAUAUGUUUCUACUGGCCAAGUACACAGUUUUACAAGCUACAGUUUCUCUUUCACUCAGCCCUGGUGGAAAAUUAGAAUUGUGAUGAGUAUUCCUACACCGACCUUGGGUGCAGGUAGGGACAACAAGCAACUUGCUCUAGUUUUCUAGCCUGAUUAUCUUUGGAAACAGGAUGUAGGAAGCCAUGACAUGUCUCCUUUCAUCUGCAUACCUCUGGAGAGUUCCCUCCCUUUCCCCACUAACUUUUGAACCACUCUUGGCCAGUUUCAACCAAAACUUUAUAGAUGGGUAGGAGUCUCAAAGCCUCAAAGUUUUUACAGCUUUUGGGAAGAUAGGUGAGCAGGUAGGUGAUAGAAUCCAACAGGAAAGAGGCCUUGUAGAGAUCCAAACCAGGAAGAUGGCUUUAACUGAAGUUCAUACCUGCUUUUUACACAGAAGUCACUCACAAGAAAUGAAGCUAUAAGAAACCAUGGUCUUUCUGAUCCUCACAGAGCAACUUCUUACAUGGCUGUAAAUGUUUUGAGAAGCGGCAUUGGUUUUUUUACUACUCAAUAGUUCAAUAAAGUGGUUAUUUGUAAUAUUUGCAUUAUUUGUCUCACACAACAAAUAUAACACCCAAAUUUGUUACUCUGUCACCAGAGACAUCAAAUGGGCUAACCAUUAAUUUAAAAAGAAUGUGUAGUACCAGUACUGCUUAUUUAAUGAAGUUGUACAAAAUGAACAUAAAUGAACCACCUGAUACAUGGCAUCUUGUUAAAGAGUCCUCUUCUUUUGACCUCCCAUAGCUCUGUGAUGGCUGGUAAUUGAUCUUACGUCUGGUUGUUCAAGAUCAGAGGAUACUUUUUUCCCUUGCCAAUACUGUCUUCCAUUUGUUCCAUUUCCUGCAUUGCUUCACAUAUUAUUGUAUGAAAUACAAUUUCAGAUAUGACAGCAGAAGCAUGUGUCUUGCCAUGGGCAUUUUCACCUGGCUUUUGGCUUACCAGAUGCACAUUCAUGUUAUCCUGUUCUUCCUUCGUGGUUAAACCAUUGUUGCUAGUAUGUGGCUUCGUAAGUCAGGGAAUGAAAGGGUAGGGCUUCUUCUGAUAUUGAGCCUCUCAGGAUGUUUCUACCUGUAACAAUGUGCCAAUCUGGGAAAAAAUGACUCUGCCUGCAGUUUUUAUUAAAGCUCUGAAUUCCUCAGGA